RNAcentral lists this ribosomal RNA (427 nucleotides) under uncultured bacterium. RNAcentral's name for it is "partial 16S ribosomal RNA". It matches the Rfam family "Bacterial small subunit ribosomal RNA", at positions 355 to 774 of the family's 1533-position model. The record is from RNAcentral.
UGGGGAAUAUUGCACAAUGGGCGCAAGCCUGAUGCAGCCAUGCCGCGUGUAUGAAGAAGGCCUUCGGGUUGUAAAGUACUUUCAGCGAGGAGGAAGGCGUUGUGGUUAAUAACCGCAGCGAUUGACGUUACUCGCAGAAGAAGCACCGGCUAACUCCGUGCCAGCAGCCGCGGUAAUACGGAGGGUGCAAGCGUUAAUCGGAAUUACUGGGUGUAAAGCCCACGCAGGCGGUCUGUCAAGUCGGAUGUGAAAUCCCCGGGCUCAACCUGGGAACUGCAUCCGAAACUGGCAGGCUAGAGUCUUGUAGAGGGGGGUAGAAUUCCAGGUGUAGCGGUGAAAUGCGUAGAGAUCUGGAGGAAUACCGGUGGCGAAGGCGGCCCCCUGGACAAAGACUGACGCUCAGGUGCGAAAGCGUGGGGAGCAAACA